GAUGAACGCUGGCGGCGUGCCUAAUACAUGCAAGUCGAGCGAACAGAUGAGGAGCUUGCUCCUCCGACGUUAGCGGCGGACGGGUGAGUAACACGUGGAUAACCUACCUAUAAGACUGGGAUAACUUCGGGAAACCGGAGCUAAUACCGGAUAAUAUAUUGAACCGCAUGGUUCAAUAGUGAAAGACGGUUUUGCUGUCACUUAUAGAUGGAUCCGCGCCGCAUUAGCUAGUUGGUAAGGUAACGGCUUACCAAGGCAACGAUGCGUAGCCGACCUGAGAGGGUGAUCGGCCACACUGGAACUGAGACACGGUCCAGACUCCUACGGGAGGCAGCAGUGGGGAAUCUUCCGCAAUGGGCGAAAGCCUGACGGAGCAACGCCGCGUGAGUGAUGAAGGUCUUCGGAUCGUAAAACUCUGUUAUUAGGGAAGAACAAAUGUGUAAGUAACUAUGCACGUCUUGACGGUACCUAAUCAGAAAGCCACGGCUAACUACGUG
RNAcentral lists this ribosomal RNA (497 nucleotides) under uncultured bacterium. RNAcentral describes it as "partial 16S ribosomal RNA". It matches the Rfam family "Bacterial small subunit ribosomal RNA", at positions 28 to 507 of the family's 1533-position model. The record is from RNAcentral.